GACGAACGCUGGCGGCGUGCUUAACACAUGCAAGUCGAACGGAAAGGCCCCUUUGGGGGUACUCGAGUGGCGAACGGGUGAGUAACACGUGAGUAACCUGCCCUUGACUUCGGGAUAACUUCAGGAAACUGGGGCUAAUACCGGAUAGGAAUCCUUGCUGCAUGGUGGGGGUUGGAAAGCUUCGGCGGUUUUGGAUGGACUCACGGCUUAUCAGCUUGUUGGUGGGGUAGUGGCUUACCAAGGCUUUGACGGGUAGCUGGCCUGAGAGGGCGACCGGCCACAUUGGGACUGAGAUACGGCCCAGACUCCUACGGGAGGCAGCAGUGGGGAAUAUUGCACAAUGGGCGGAAGCCUGAUGCAGCAACGCCGCGUGCGGGAUGACGGCCUUCGGGUUGUAAACCGCUUUCAGCAGGGGCGAAGCUUGUGGUGACGGUACCUGCAGAAGAAGCACCGGCUAACUACGUG
Molecule: ribosomal RNA, 465 nt
Filed under: uncultured bacterium
Lineage: Bacteria
Description: partial 16S ribosomal RNA
Rfam family: Bacterial small subunit ribosomal RNA
Source: RNAcentral